AGAGAUUUCCCCUCUACUUAGGUUAGGGUGUAACCUAACCUGGCUUUUGUAUGUCUUCCUGCUCCUUCUUAGUGACUGAGUUGAUUGAGAAACAGAAAGAGCAUUAGGAUGCCACUGGUUUAAUAAAGCUCCUGUCAAUUUGUUCAGCUAAAAAGGGGGUGUCUGUAGCCACAGGGGCAGCAUUGCCAGGGAACCUGCAGGGAUUCCCUUCCCUCCAUGGGAGAGUCUGUGGCAACAGGGUCUGUCAUUUCCUCAAUUUGCUGGGACAAGCAAGACAGCUUUGAAACUGUAGACUGGGAGAACUUCUCGGAAGGCCUUCUAAAAACUCUGUUGUUCCCAGUUGCAGUUGUUCCCAGAAUUCAGGGAAAGCUUCUUUCUUUCUAAAUUUGGUCAUGAAAGAAUUUGAUUGUCUAACUUGACCCUUUACCUAGUGCUAAAAGAGUGAUUCCCUUUGCAAAGAAGUGCAAACUCCAAACCAGUGAGUGUCUCCUCCUGAGCCCUGCAGCUGCUGCUGUGCUGUUUCACAAUAGAACAGCCAAAGCUCAGAGGAAUUUUGGGGAAGCUUUACUGGGCAACUGUUUACAGCAAGUUAAUGAGAAUUAGUGCAUGCAACUGAUUUUUUUUAAAAAGCACCUGAAGGAGAGGAUUUUAGAAGCUAUUUUAAGUGUUUACUAGAACAGGAAUAUUGAGUGUUAAAGAAGAAUUUGUAUUUUCUUGAUCGUGUUUGUAUUCUUUUGCUGACUAAAAAGGUUGAAGUGUAGGCACAAGCAAGAACAUUAUCCUGAUCUCUUGGUGGCUUUGUGAAUGAAAUGUGUCUCCUGGAGGGAUGUUGUGAAAGGGAAAAUAAGCUCUGUUUGGAUUGACCUCUUGUGUGGGAUUCACCAGGCCAGGAACUUUUCUCACAGCAUCUGAUUCAUUUUCCCUGCCCAGUACAGGUCACAUAAAACAUGUAUUCAGUGGAGCUGCUCCUGAGGUGAGUGAGAAAGGAAGAUUUCAUGUUCCUCCUAUUUAAAAAUUCCGGAGCGAGCUGUCACCUUGACUAGACACAGAAGAGUAUAGAGGGCCAGCAAGGACGGCCAAAAGAAAAUCCAGAGAGAAACGCCCAAAGAAAAUAAUUCCCAUGACUUCAACAACAACAACAACAACAACAACAACAACAAAAAGGAGUGGAUAUUUCCUAAUUUCAAUCUCAGAAAUCUGAAGAAAGAGAACUGAAGAAUUUCCAUAGAUACCCAUAUGACAGUGCUCAGCACAAGGGCUGCUGCCCUGCCAAACCUGCCCUCAGUGCAUCCAAGUGCUUUAGACACUGGAGUGGCUCACUUGCAUCCUGGGGCUUGUAGGUGCUUUUGGUAUGCCAGGAGGAGAAGCCCUCUUCUUUUUGUCUUUCUCCAGCCAGCAAGGGGGCUUCUGCACAACAUCUCCUGCCCUUUUCCAGCACUGGAUGGGAUUCUGCCCAGUUCUGGUUUUCCCUGUCUGCUGCAGCAAUAGCAACAAUGUUGCUGGCUCUUUCCUACUUGUCCAUUUCUGAGCUUGCAAGAAAUGAAAGUUCUGUUUUACAGCUACAAUGUUGCUUGCUGAUAGCAGCCAGGAAGGAAUAUCAAAUUCAUAGCCAUAUAGUGUUGAACUGGCCCAUUUUAAUUAAUUAAUUACUCCCACCCAAAAGUGAUCCACUUCACACCCCAGGGGUUUUUUAUUUCUUGGCAAACCCUUGUCUGGAGAGAGCACAUCCCCUGCAGCAGCAGUCAUCCUGGCUGGUGUGCAGGGGACAGUCUACAACAGCAGGUGCUGUUGCUCUUUCAAAAGCUGACAUGCCUUUCCUUAGAAAGGUCCUGCUCUGCAAGUGUUGCAGCAGCAAGCUCUUCCUCUCAGUGGCACUGUCUUCUGCCAUUACUCCCCAUUCCCCUGGGGAAAGGGAAUCUUUUAGAGUGGUUUCCUUUCUUUUGUGAUGAAAUCACAUCACUUAGUUUUGCUCUCCUGUUUCUGUUUUCUCUCUCAGUGCCUGAGAGGACUGGAUUUUCUUCACUCAAACCACAUGAUCCACCGAGGUCUGAAGAGCUGCAACAUCCUUCUCGGAACCAAUGGCUCUGUCAAGCUGGGUGACUUUGGCCUCUUUGCUCAGCUCACUCCUGAGCAGAGUAGACAAAGCUCCGUGGCCAGCACUUCUGGGUGGAUGGCGCCUGAAGUGGUGACAGGUCAACCAUAUGGCCCCAAAGUGGACAUAUGGUCUUUUGGAAUCGUGGGCAUUGAAAUGGUGGAACGAGAAGCUCCUUACUGGAAAGAAACUUCUGGCAUGGUAAGGAGCAAAUACUGACUGAUCCCUCUGUCUUUCUCACCUGUCCCGUGUCCUGUGUGCCACUGGACAAAAUCCCAUUGCCAUCUCCUGGCACCACUUCCACCAAGAUCACCUCCUAAAAAUGUCCCUGCAGCACAUCAGCAGCUGCUGUAGCUUUGGUUGCAUCAGAAGGGAAGUGGCAGUUCAGAAACCUAAGCAGUUCAGACACCUAACCAGUUCAGGAACCUGCCAUUUAGGCCUCCAGCCAUGCCUGGCAUUUCUCAUUUGCUUUUUGAACAGUGUUGGAGCUCUGUCUCUGAAGGACAAAAAAUUUUCAGUGGAAUGGUUGGAUGUGUGAUAAAUAUCCUUCAAAAUGGAGGUUCAAUCAUCCUAGUUUCAAUUGUACAGGAAAAGAAAACUGGAAAUUGAAAAGGAAGAGAAAAUAGAUAAGAAAAAAAGGAAAAAGAAGAGAAAAAAUAAAA
Passer domesticus (house sparrow) is the source of this 2754-nucleotide long non-coding RNA. RefSeq lists it as uncharacterized. Lineage: Eukaryota; Metazoa; Chordata; Aves; Passeriformes; Passeridae. The transcript is spliced from 2 exons. The record is from RefSeq and is a predicted model, not a curated record.